RNAcentral lists this ribosomal RNA (668 nucleotides) under Gordonia terrae. RNAcentral describes it as "bacterial SSU rRNA". It matches the Rfam family "Bacterial small subunit ribosomal RNA", at positions 72 to 754 of the family's 1533-position model. The record is from RNAcentral. Lineage: Bacteria; Bacillati; Actinomycetota; Actinomycetes; Mycobacteriales; Gordoniaceae.
GGCCCAGCUUGCUGGGUACUCGAGUGGCGAACGGGUGAGUAACACGUGGGUGAUCUGCCCUGCACUCUGGGAUAAGCCUGGGAAACUGGGUCUAAUACCGGAUAUGACCAACUGUCGCAUGGUGGUUGGUGGAAAGCUUUUGCGGUGUGGGAUGGGCCCGCGGCCUAUCAGCUUGUUGGUGGGGUAAUGGCCUACCAAGGCGACGACGGGUAGCCGACCUGAGAGGGUGAUCGGCCACACUGGGACUGAGACACGGCCCAGACUCCUACGGGAGGCAGCAGUGGGGAAUAUUGCACAAUGGGCGCAAGCCUGAUGCAGCGACGCCGCGUGAGGGAUGACGGCCUUCGGGUUGUAAACCUCUUUCACCAGGGACGAAGCGGAAGUGACGGUACCUGGAGAAGAAGCACCGGCCAACUACGUGCCAGCAGCCGCGGUAAUACGUAGGGUGCGAGCGUUGUCCGGAAUUACUGGGCGUAAAGAGCUCGUAGGCGGUUUGUCGCGUCGUCUGUGAAAUUCUGCAACUCAAUUGCAGGCGUGCAGGCGAUACGGGCAGACUUGAGUACUACAGGGGAGACUGGAAUUCCUGGUGUAGCGGUGAAAUGCGCAGAUAUCAGGAGGAACACCGGUGGCGAAGGCGGGUCUCUGGGUAGUAACUGACGCUGAGGAGC